AACUCACCGUAUCAUUUAAUCAUUUGUUGCUUUAUACUUAUUUUCUAUUGGGCCUUUACGUUUCUUUCUACUUAUUCUUCAUAAUUGGGCUUCAUGUUUUAUUUUGAGUAUCUGAAUUGAUUAUUUGCGUGUUGAGUGUUGCGCUGGCAUCAUGUCAUGAAAUUAACGCUAAGAACGGUUGUCGAGCUCUUUCUUCAACCAUGGUGAUCUUCAAAUUUCUAGGGUUCAUAUCAUAUUUUUCGUUCUUUCUGUAAUUAGGUGGACUGACAAUGGAGUUUCUGGACUUCAUGAGGAAUCUCUUUAGCUAGCUCCGUUCGUGUCGUUUUGUCUCAGAUUCUUCUCCUAAGGACCGUUACGGGAUUCAUUGAUUCAACGCCAUUGAAGACCUUAUUUAUUCCUUAGCCCCACUUCAACCAUGAUUACUCAUUAAAUGCAUUUUACCUCUCUCCAAGGCGGUGGAGCUCCAGUUAUUAAAAGAAUGGUAAACUCAUUGAUUCUCCUCGCUGAGGCUGGCUGGCUGUUGUUCUUUAAAUCACUUUCCUGCUGAGAUCAAGAUCUAUUACUAUUUCAUUGUCUUUCUUUUCCGGACCGAUCAGAAAAAGCCAAAGCUUGCUUUUCAGCUACCAAUUGGUCGCCUCAACAGCUUAAACAAGAGAACCCUUGAUGUGAUCACUUCAAGAUUGUAUUUUUACUAUUCUUUGAGUUAUGAGAAACUUGGUGAUCUUGCUGAGAUUUGUGGUACUCAAUCCGUCCUUGGGCCAUUCUGCAACACUGCAUUGGGACAGAUACGUUUUGAGAUAAAUGUUAUAAACACUAGAAACUCUUUAUUCAGCUUUUGUUUUGGUUUAUUCAAGGUGUCGUUUUAGAUGAUUGGCUUAAUUUUUUUUUUUUAAUGAUGUAUGAUGAUUUUGGUUUUGUUUGUUGUUUCUGUUUUUGUUUGUUAAUGUAAGAUUAUUUUGUUUCUGUUUAUUUUAUUGAUUUUAGAAAGCUUGAAUUUUGAUACCGUGUGGAGUUAAGCGUUGCUGAUGAGAUUGACGAAGCUGAUUUUAUACUCUGUCUUAUAGGCUGGAGGUGUUUCGAACCCAGAUGAUAUUCAGUUCCCUGUUUAUUACCGACAUUGUUAGCAAGACAUACACAUUCCAGCUCAGCCCGACCAGUUUCAGUUACACUUUGAAGCAUCAGACUUUCACAAUCUCACGCAUCUUCGACGAGCGUCAGCGUCUUCGAGUCUAUGACUUUGUUGUCGAUGGCGGCAACGGUGGUUUAGGUGAUGAUUUGAACGGUGGAAGCUGUUGGCCUAAAAAUGUAUCUUUAUUUCAUUUUGGAGCAUUGCCAUUUAUUCCAUUUUGCAGGCACUGUUGAUACUAUUUAGAGAAAUACAUGUUUUACUUCCUACGAACCAUUUUGAAACUUCAUAGAGAACAUAUUUAAGUCUUACCCUAUU
Raphanus sativus (radish) is the source of this 1444-nucleotide long non-coding RNA. RefSeq lists it as uncharacterized. The record is from RefSeq and is a predicted model, not a curated record. The transcript has 5 exons. Lineage: Eukaryota; Viridiplantae; Streptophyta; Magnoliopsida; Brassicales; Brassicaceae.